Molecule: long non-coding RNA, 821 nt
Organism: Aphidius gifuensis
Lineage: Eukaryota; Metazoa; Arthropoda; Insecta; Hymenoptera; Braconidae
Exons: 3
Source: RefSeq, a predicted model, not a curated record
UUGUAGUGUGAAGAUGUGUAUUUUGUGUUGCUCUGUAUUCUUGCCGAGUGGCCCUUCGGUGUUCCUGUUAAUUUUGCUGUUUUUGUGUUAACGAAAAGUGUGCCUAAAACAUAUAAUGUGUUAUUGUAAUUCAACAAACACAAUUAUUAAAACUGGAACUAAAAAAAAUGACUAAAUUGAUUUGUCAUUGGAGCAAAAAUCAUUUUGGAGUACAUUUCAUCAAGUUUAUCCAUGGCAAAAACAUUAAUUUUGCUAAUUCAUGUGGAAUAAAAUAUACACAAGCUUCAAUGAUGAAGAAAAGAAAGCUACAGCACCAUUUAACAUACUUGAGACAAACUGAGACUGUUUUUAUGCUUGAAUAUAAUAUGAAAAAUACAAAGUGAAUGAUGUUAAUGUUAAAAGUAUCACAAGACAUAUUGGCUUUAGUUUGUGUUACCAAGUGCUCCAAAAAUUAAGUGAAUUGUUUAUAAACUAUUUGAUUGUUGAACAAUCAUGAAAUAGUUGUUCAACUGGUACACUUGAACCACCACCAACAACAAAAUGCAUCAAGACCGCAUUCACAUGAUAUUAUGCUUCAACAAAGAUGAGUCUCUGAUAAUAAAUUUCAACUCUUUAACUGGAUUUAAAAAUCAUUGAGUUUAAAUGAAUCUCAACACUUGAAGAUCAUGACAUGGUGCUGAUAUGAUUGAUGUUUAUACUCUUGCUAAUGUAACACUUAUUGUUGCUAUCGGAAAACAUUCUGUACCACUUGAUGGUGAGCUUUAUCUGUUUUUAACAAAAAUUAUUUAGUAGACCAUUGAUGUUGCUCAUGAAUCAGCACA